This is a long non-coding RNA of Oxyura jamaicensis (ruddy duck), 477 nucleotides long. RefSeq lists it as uncharacterized. The record is from RefSeq and is a predicted model, not a curated record. NCBI's taxonomy places the organism in Eukaryota, Metazoa, Chordata, Aves, Anseriformes, Anatidae. The transcript has 4 exons.
GGGCCAGGAGGGGUGACAGGGGCUGACAGCGCGGUGGGGAGAGGACAGAGUCUACAAGGGAAUGGGUAUGGGAGGACGGGGGCCGUGGGGGGGGGGGGGACGGGGCACUGGGGGAGCCAGGGACUGGGGUGGGGGGGCAUGGGGCUGGGAGGGGAGGGUGCGUUUCCUUCAGUGGCUGCAGCCGACGUCCCUCUGCCCCCCCGCUGGCCCCCUCCACUGUGGCUGCCGCCCUGCCCCAUGCAGUUCACCGCGUUGCACUGGGCAGCGAAGCACGGCAAGGAGGACAUGGCCGCGAUGCUCGUGGAUGCUGGGGCCGACAUCAACACGCGAGCGCACGGCGUGAGUAUGCUCAGCUGGACGGACGGACGCGCUGCAGGCCUGGCCCAGGACGGGGGGCGCGGGGGGGUGCCCUGGGAAGGGGCCGGGGCGUCCCCAGGGCGGUGGGAAUGGGCGUCCCUGGCAGGGUGGUGGCAGCAG